AGUUUGAGGAAGUGAUCUCAAAUGAAUUCUGCCCAGUGAUUUUUUUUUUAAAUGGCCGCAGUACCUUGACUGUGCUAAGGUAGCAUAAUCAAUUGGCUUCUAAUUAAAGUCUAGAAUGAAAGGAAAUAUGGAGUAAUUCUAUCUUAAAAGAUUUUUUUUGAAUUUAUUUAAAUGAUGAAAAUAUCAUUUUUUAGAAAAAAGACGAGAAGACCCUUAGAGUUUUAAUUUUAUAAUUUUUGUUGGGGCGACAAGUAAACAUAAAAACUUUACGAUAAUUAUUAAUCGAUUUUUUAAUAAGAAUAAUAAAACUACCUUAGGGAUAACAGCAUUAUAUAUUUUUAUGAUUGUGACCUCGAUGUUGGACUAGGAACUUUAUGGCUAGCCGUCAAAAAAGAUUUGUUCUGUUCGAACAAUUUUAUCCUAC
Molecule: ribosomal RNA, 424 nt
Filed under: Biomphalaria edisoni
Lineage: Eukaryota; Metazoa; Mollusca; Gastropoda; Planorbidae
Description: partial 16S ribosomal RNA
Source: RNAcentral